GACGAACGCUGGCGGCGUGCUUAACACAUGCAAGUCGAGCGAUGAAGCACCUUCGGGUGUGAAUUAGCGGCGAACGGGUGAGGAACACGUGAGAAAUCUGCCUUCAACUCUGGGAUAACUCCGGGAAACCGGGGCUAAUACCGGAUAUGAGCCUUGAUCGCAUGAUCGGGGCUGGAAAGUUUUUCGGUUGAAGAUGAUCUCGCGGCCUAUCAGCUUGUUGGUGAGGUAAUGGCUCACCAAGGCGACGACGGGUAGCCGGCCUGAGAGGGCGACCGGCCACACUGGGACUGAGACACGGCCCAGACUCCUACGGGAGGCAGCAGUGGGGAAUAUUGGGCAAUGGAGGAAACUCUGACCCAGCGACGCCGCGUGAGGGAUGAAGGCCUUCGGGUUGUAACCGUCUUUCAGUAGGAAGAAGCGAAAGUGACGGUACCUACAGAAGAAGCACCGGCUAACUAUGUGCC
This 464-nucleotide ribosomal RNA is filed under the name uncultured bacterium. Its description in RNAcentral is "bacterial SSU rRNA". It matches the Rfam family "Bacterial small subunit ribosomal RNA", at positions 28 to 509 of the family's 1533-position model. The record is from RNAcentral.